AGCAUAUCAAUAAGCGGAGGAAAAGAAACCAACAGGGAUUGCCCUAGUAACGGCGAGUGAAGCGGCAACAGCUCAAAUUUGAAAUCUGGCUCUCGGGCCCGAGUUGUAAUUUGUAGAGGAUACUUUUGAUGCGGUGCCUUCCGAGUUCCCUGGAACGGGACGCCAUAGAGGGUGAGAGCCCCGUCUGGUUGGAUGCCAAAUCUCUGUAAAGUUCCUUCGACGAGUCGAGUAGUUUGGGAAUGCUGCUCUAAAUGGGAGGUAUAUGUCUUCUAAAGCUAAAUACCGGCCAGAGACCGAUAGCGCACAAGUAGAGUGAUCGAAAGAUGAAAAGCACUUUGAAAAGAGAGUUAAAAAGUACGUGAAAUUGUUGAAAGGGAAGCGUUUAUGACCAGACUUGGGCUUGGUUAAUCAUCUGGGGUUCUCCCCAGUGCACUUUUCCAGUCCAGGCCAGCAUCAGUUUUCCCCGGGGGAUAAAGACUUCGGGAAUGUGGCUCUCUUCGGGGAGUGUUAUAGCCCGUUGUGUAAUACCCUGGGGGGGACUGAGGUUCGCGCAUCUGCAAGGAUGCUGGCGUAAUGGUCAUCAACGACCCGUCUUGAAACACGGACCAAGGAGUCGUCUUCGUAUGCGAGUGUUCGGGUGUCAAACCCCUACGCGUAAUGAAAGUGAACGCAGGUGAGAGCUUCGGCGCAUCAUCGACCGAUCCUGAUGUUCUCGGAUGGAUUUGAGUAAGAGCAUACGGGGCCGGACCCGAAAGAAGGUGAACUAUGCCUGUAUAGGGUGAAGCCAGAGGAAACUCUGGUGGAGGCUCGCAGCGGUUCUGACGUGCAAAUCGAUCGUCAAAUAUGGGCAUGGGGGCGAAAGACUAAUCGAACCUUCUAGUAGCUGGUUUCCGCCGAA
Molecule: ribosomal RNA, 898 nt
Filed under: Fusarium verticillioides
Lineage: Eukaryota; Fungi; Ascomycota; Sordariomycetes; Hypocreales; Nectriaceae
Also listed under: 1 other name
Description: LSU rRNA
Rfam family: Eukaryotic large subunit ribosomal RNA
Source: RNAcentral